Molecule: ribosomal RNA, 433 nt
Filed under: uncultured bacterium
Lineage: Bacteria
Description: partial 16S ribosomal RNA
Rfam family: Bacterial small subunit ribosomal RNA
Source: RNAcentral
AACGAACGCUGGCGGCAUGCCUAACACAUGCAAGUCGAACGAGACCUUCGGGUCUAGUGGCGCACGGGUGCGUAACGCGUGGGAACCUGCCCUUAGGUUCGGAAUAACUCCCCGAAAGGGGUGCUAAUACCGGAUAAUGUCUUCGGACCAAAGAUUUAUCGCCUUUGGAUGGGCCCGCGUUGGAUUAGCUAGUUGGUAGGGUAAAAGCCUACCAAGGCGACGACCCAUAGCUGGUCUGAGAGGAUGAUCAGCCACACUGGGACUGAGACACGGCCCAGACUCCUACGGGAAGCAGCAGUGGGGAAUAUUGGACAAUGGGCGAAAGCCUGAUCCAGCAAUGCCGCGUGAGUGAUGAAGGCCUUAGGGUUGUAAAGCUCUUUUACCCGGGAUGAUAAUGACAGUACCGGGAGAAUAAGCUCCGGCUAACUCCGUG